Molecule: ribosomal RNA, 511 nt
Filed under: uncultured Desulfobulbus sp.
Lineage: Bacteria; Pseudomonadati; Thermodesulfobacteriota; Desulfobulbia; Desulfobulbales; Desulfobulbaceae
Description: bacterial SSU rRNA
Rfam family: Bacterial small subunit ribosomal RNA
Source: RNAcentral
CGCCUUGCCAGCCCGCUCAGAACCUUAAAGGAAUUGACGGGGGCCCGCACAAGCGGUGGAGUAUGUGGUUUAAUUCGAUGCAACGCGAAGAACCUUACCUGGUCUUGACAUCCCGGAGACCCUUAGGAAACUAGGGGGUGCUUCCAUCUGGAAGAAUCUGGAGACAGGUGCUGCAUGGCUGUCGUCAGCUCGUGUCGUGAGAUGUUGGGUUAAGUCCCGCAACGAGCGCAACCCUUGCCUUUAGUUGCCAGCAGUUCGGCUGGGCACUCUAAAGGGACUGCCGGUGUUAAACCGGAGGAAGGUGGGGAUGACGUCAAGUCCUCAUGGCCUUUAUGACCAGGGCUACACACGUACUACAAUGGCCGAUACAAAGGGCAGCGACACUGCGAGGUGAAGCCAAUCCCGUAAAAUCGGUCUCAGUCCGGAUUGGAGUCUGCAACUCGACUCCAUGAAGUUGGAAUCGCUAGUAAUCGUGGAUCAGCAUGCCACGGUGAAUACGUUCCCGGGCCUU